ACAUUACCCAACCCUAAUGAUGAUUUUGCGCCAAAACCACCCUACCUCUCCUUAAAAAGGAUACUGUACACGCUGACUGCUGCUAGCAUAUUAGAGGCUGCAUCACUAACUGGUCUGAUUUGUAUAUCGAAGACUUCUUCCUCAUCGGCGAUUGGGAGAUUUGAUUUCGUUGAAGAUCCGAAUUAAUUAAGAAAGAGAGAAUUAUUUGAGGAUCCUAUCUUAAUUUUGUUAUAAAUCAAAGUGUUGUGAAUAAUUGGUAUUUUAAAAAAUUUGAAAACAUCUAGUACUAAUAUUCAAGAUUAUUAGACAACGUGUUGAUAAUUUGAGUUCCAAGAGUUAUUGAAUCUAAUUCACUAAAAUCGUACAAGUUCUCAGAGUUCAAAAAUCUUCUGCCUAUGAAGUAAGCUUGCCGAUCAUUUUUUUCUAAUGAAAUUAUCAGUCAAUACAACACAAUCACUUUCAA
Long non-coding RNA from Daphnia magna, 463 nucleotides. RefSeq lists it as uncharacterized. The record is from RefSeq and is a predicted model, not a curated record. The transcript is spliced from 2 exons. Lineage: Eukaryota; Metazoa; Arthropoda; Branchiopoda; Diplostraca; Daphniidae.